RNAcentral lists this ribosomal RNA (1020 nucleotides) under uncultured bacterium. RNAcentral's name for it is "bacterial SSU rRNA". It matches the Rfam family "Bacterial small subunit ribosomal RNA", at positions 28 to 1062 of the family's 1533-position model. The record is from RNAcentral.
GAUGAAUGCUGGCGGCGUGGAUAAGGCAUGCAAGUCGAACGGUCCCGCUUCGGUGGGAUAGUGGCGAAUGGGUUAGUAACACGUGGGUACAUACCUCCGAGAUGGGCAUAACUUAAGGAAACUUAAGCUAAUACCCAAUAGUCCCUGAGAGAAAAUCUGAGGGUAAAGGUUUCACAAGAAGCCGCUCAGAGAUUGGCCUGCGGCCUAUCAGCUAGUUGGUGGGGUAAUAGCUCACCAAGGCGAUGACGGGUAGGGGAUGUGAGAGCAUGAUCCCCAACAAGGAAACUGCGACACGGUUCCUACUCCUACGGGAGGCAGCAGUCGAGAAUCUUCGACAAUGGGCGAAAGCCUGAUCGAGCGACGCCGCGUGCGGGAAGAAGGACUUCGGUUUGUAAACCGCUUUUCUGGAGGAUGAACCUUCGGGUGACAGUACUCCAGGAAUAAGGGGUUCCUAAACUCGUGCCAGCAGGAGCGGUAAUACGAGUACCCCAAGCAUUAUCCGGAAUUAUUGGGCGUAAAGCGUCUGUAGGUGGCUAAAUAAGUCUAUUGUUAAAUUCCUUUGGCUUAACUAAAGGACUGCGAUAGAAACUAUUCAACUAGAGGACGUUAGAGGCUGAUGGAACUCAGGGUGUAGGGGUGAAAUCCAUUGAUAUCCUGAGGAACACCAAAGGCGAAGGCAUUCAGCUGGAGCGUUCCUGACACUGAGAGACGAAAGCGUGGGGAGCAAAAAGGAUUAGAUACCCUUGUAGUCCACGCUGUAAACGAUGGACACUGGUCAUUUGAAGUAUCGACCCUUCAAGUGGCGAAGCUAACGCGUUAAGUGUCCCGCCUGGGAAGUACGGCGGCAACGCUAAAACUCAAAGGAAUAGACGGGAGCUCGCACAAGCGGUGGAGCAUGUGGUUUAAUUCGACAACAAGCGAAGAACCUUACCGAGGCUUGACAGACUAGUGAAAGUCUGGGGAAACCUAGAUCUCCCACAAGGACACUAGCCCAGGUGCUGCACGGCCCUCGUCAGUUCG